AAUGGCUGGGACAAAGGGUCGCGAUCCCGCGAGGGUGAGCUAACCCCAAAAACUCGUCCUCAGUUCGGAUUGCAGGCUGCAACUCGCCUGCAUGAAG
Ribosomal RNA from Nicotiana attenuata, 97 nucleotides. It matches the Rfam family "Bacterial small subunit ribosomal RNA", at positions 1229 to 1325 of the family's 1533-position model. Lineage: Eukaryota; Viridiplantae; Streptophyta; Magnoliopsida; Solanales; Solanaceae. The record is from Rfam.